CUUGGUAGGUGGAUGAUCUAAAAUUAACAGCAGGGCUUAUAUGGAUGCAGACAGCAAAGAACAGAGAACGUUGGAAAGAACCUGAAGAGGCGUAUAUCCAAAGAUGAAUGUGAGAUACUGGAGGAGGAGGAGAUGAUGAGAAUUAAAAAACAACAACAGCCCAAUUAGGACUAGCAAUGCAUAACAGCAUAACAGUUGGAAAAGGAAGAAGAAAAAGAACACAGCAGGGUGGGAGGACGGAAAGCCAAGCCUGGAGGGAAUUAAUCCUUGAUCAGCAGCACUUCUUUUAGACAGGAGGACAACAUUUUAUUGCAGCUCCCUCAAACUGUUGGUAAUAAUAUAAAAAGUCUGUCUAUUUUUUUGUUAUAAUGCUUUUAUUUAUCAUGUUGUUUUAAUGUACAGUGGUACCUCGGGUUAAGUACUUAAUUCGUUCCGGAGGUCCGUUCUUAACCUGAAACUGUUCUUAACCUGAAGCACCACUUUAGCUAAUGGGGCCUCCUGCUGCCGCUGCGCCGCUGCUGCACGAUUUCUGUUCUUAUCCUGAAGCAAAGUUUUUAACCCGAAGUAAUAUUUCUGGGUUAGCGGAGUCUGUAACCUGAAGCGCAUGUAACCUGAAGCGUAUGUAACCCGAGGUACCACUGUACUGUUUUCUUAAGUUGUGUUUUGCUGUUGUCUUGGGAUUUGUAGGAAGGGUACUAUAAAAAUAUAUGGCAUACAUAAAUAGGAGAAGUAGAGAGAGAGCUUGUGGAAUGUAGUGCAGAGAAAAUCCUAUGCGAGACAGUAUCUUUCACUGGGUAUGGCCUGAAGGCACAUGAAACUACCACUUUGCUGAAGCUAAGCUAAUCUGGGUCUGGUCAGUGCCUGGAUGAGAGACUGCCUAAGAACCACAUGCCUAGAAACAAAGGAAAAGUAGCAUAUAACUGAAAGAAAAUAAAUAAAUAACAUUUCUGUAGGACCCUGCCUAUAGGGACUGGAUAACCCAAUGGCUGGAGCAGGUUUUACUUUUACCUCAGGAACAGGGCCAGUCCUACCAUGGGACAAAGGGAGGCAACUAUGUUAGGUGGCAAGUGUCAUGGCAGUGGCAGCCUUCCCCAUUAUGCCUCCUCAGGCACCAACAUUUAUUGGGCCAACCAAUCUCAUAAAUACCAUGACCUUUACUUUCUGCUUUGGAGGUGCUGUGAAUAAAUUUUAUUCCAACAUCAACAGUAUCUCCAAGAGAUAUUUAUGUUGCAUUCAGGCAUGAUGCAUUAACUGUGCACUGUUCCCUUAAGAACAACAUGGACUUGGGGCUACCCACUUCUCUCUAUUCCUGUGGACUUCUGCUGCCCUGUGCUUUAGAUUCCUGUCAAGGAGUUGUUGUUUUUAAAAAGUAUGCACACAUAGACAUUUUUUUUUAAAAAAAGAACUUUUUCUAUGUUACCAACCCCUACUUUGAGUACGAAUGAGUAAUUAACAGGCAACAAAAUAGUGAAUGGUGACCAUUUACUUCUAUGGUAUAAAAUGCAGUGGGUAUGUGCAGCCUUUAAAGUGAAGAACACAGCUCACCAAAAGUGAACAUCAAUCAAAGAACUUGCAUUAUGCAGUCUAGGAUGUUGUCACAACCCACAUAGUCUUUAUCAAUCUAUAUACCUACCUACCAACCUGUUCUCAGUUUCAGUGCGGAAGGCAAAACUGACAUUAAUAUUUCUUAAACACACAAAAUCAGAUUUUUUUGUUUGUUUUUGUUUUAAAGGUAAUGUUGGGAUUAGACUGAUAAAAAGCUCAUCCUAUCAUACCGGGUGAAAGUGCUUGCUUCCAUUGAUUACAAAAUGACAAAUCCUCUUAAAAUCCCAGCAGGAUCCUAACCAAUUUAUGGACACCACAUCUCAAAGGUCAAUCGCCAAAGGACAUUCGGAGAGCAGUGCAGUUACCAUAUUGAAUGUCCUUUUCAAUACAAAGAGCAACUGUAAUUGCUAUUGGCUCUGCAGGAGGGAGAAUUCACAUUAUGCCUGUGAGCCGCAUAGCAUCCCUCAGCAACACCGUUGCCAUGUUACAGGAAGACAAGGAGGAGGCAGCUUCACGGAUACAAAGGGUUUUUGUUCUUCAAGCAACAAGUCCCCAUUUCAGCACCUGGUCUCCUUAAGAAAAAGUCAGGGCCUAAGCACCAGGCAAAGCCUACCUAGGCAGAUGCCUUUUCUGGGCUCUUAUACCUAUCUCUGAGACUCAGAAUGGAGUGGUGGGCAGCUGGACUGCCACCAUUUUAAACUCCCCACAGUGUGCCCUGGAAGGAUGUUACAUUGGGCCAUUAUUAGAAUAAUUAGAUAAUUAGAAUAGUCACAUGUACCUGUCACAGAGCAUGAUGGUGGUGGUGCUUGAGGGGACCCAUAGAAAGCAUUUUGCCAGGCCCCCUCACACCUAAAGCUAGGCCUGUGAGAGACAUUGUCUAAGAUGGAGUAUAUUUAUAAAUGCUACAUUACACUGAUUUGGGAACAACAGCUGGAGGUCCAUGAAUCAAAUCUAGCCCAAGAGGUGCCCUCUGCCCUUUAAAGUUAUCUAGACCGAGACCCAAAAUCGGAAAUUUUAUUUUAAUUUAUUUUGCUGUCGACUGCCCAGUCAGUAGAGCAUAAGACUCUUAAUAUCAGGGUCAUGGGUUUCGAUCCCCACAUUGGAUGAGAGAUUUCUGUACCGCAGGGGGUUAGACUAGAUGGUCCUCAUGGCCCCUUCCAACUCUAUACUUCUAUGACAGCAAGCCAUUUUGGAAGCUGGGAACUAGGCACUGGCUGAGAGGUCACCAUGCGCUUUGGUCUUCUGGUCUGAAAGCAGGCUCCUCACUAAACUACUUGCUGACAGAGAGAUAAAUGCCUUCCUGGAGGCUGCAAGAGCAACUCUCAGUGUGCGCCCAAUUCAAAGCGAUUACCAACCAAAUUAAAAUAAAUGAACAAACAAAAUAAUCAGCGUUUUCAGAAACUGCUACUAGGCAACCCUUCCCUCACAACACAUCCUUUGGCACCAUGUAACAUAGAUUCAAUAAAAAAUAACCCCCCUCCCCUGCACCCCAGCUGUAGCAAUCAGGAUUGCAAAAACUGGCCGCAAUUUGUAAGAGAGACAGAUUUAGGAAAUUACAUAAAAACUUCAAAUUAACCAGCCAUUUUUAUUUAUUUAUCGAAAAUUGGAAAUGACCACAUAUGCCUAAUAUCUGAACAAGAAGAUAUAGUUGGGUGGGGGGGUGAGGUAGGGAACAAAACUUCAUCUUCACAAAAAUGAACCUCUAAAACACCCCUAGGGUACAUAUAUACCAUACACUUAAAGCACAUUCUCACUCCCCCCAAGGGGGUGGAAUGGGGUCAGGGACGGAACAGGCCUAUACGUGAGCACUGAUGCGGGCAAUGAUCCGGAACGCAACCCUCACACAAAUGGGGAGUUACCUAUAGUUCUACAUGAAUGUGCCACCCGCUCAAGAAUUUCUGCUUCAACGAUGGAGCAUUCUGCCCCUCUCUUCUGCCCACGCACCCUUAAAUCUGUUCUGAUGGGUCCCCCAGAUACUUUGAAGCCAAUGUGAGGAAAGCGUGGGAUAUGCACAGGGAAAGGAAGUUCGCUUGCGCAAGCAUAAACCCUUGCACCAACUGAACGAGGGCACCGGAUGCCGCCCUUUGCCAUGGCAUCUUUGAAUGUGAGACAAUGAGGUGGAUUUAGAUGGGGCCACCGAUAAGAAAAUUGCAAUAGCUCCCAGUGGAUUUAUAAAAGGGGCCAACAUGCCACUUAAUACGUCAUCUAAAUACCUUUAUAAAUAAUGGGAAGGAUUCAAAUUGUAACUUGAGACUGUCACCAUCACUCACUUUAUGCAGAAGCCUGUAGAAUACCCUGAAAAGCUCAAUGGAAGGGAAUCCACCUUGCAUGCCAGAGGUCCCAGAGUUCCAUCUCCAGGUAGGGCUUAGAAUGUCCCCUGCCUGAAAGCCACUGUAGACAAUAUUGAGCUUGAUGGACCAAUGGUCUGACUCAGCAGCUCCCUAUGUUCUUAUGUAACCAAAGCAAUAGGAGUGGCUCCAGUUAGAAGCACAAAAUGGAAGUGCCAGAAGGCCCAGGCAUGGGGCUCUUUGGAUCCAGGCCAACAGAGUACUUCUAAGUGCUAUAGGCUGCAUAUCUGAGCCUCCUCCAUCAUAUGCUGGGAGAUGCUGCAAGAGAGAGGCAAUGAAGCAUGCAAUGAAAUUGGUAAACAAAGCAGAUAGCUUAACUACUACUGUAUAUCAUCACAGCAAUCUGUUUACUGGAACAAGAUAACAUUGAAUUUGCAUGUUUGAAGCCAAACAGUCAUGCAGCUUGCAAAUCAAGAAUGAAACAGUGGGCAAUUACAAUAAAAUUCAUUAUUCAAGAAAUGUCCUUAGAUGAAUUCCUUAUUCGCUCAUUGCAUUCUUUUAAAAUUCCUAAGAAUGUAACUGAAGUGUUUCUAACACAAUUCUCUACCUAAAUAAAAUAAUGCAAUUUCUGUGAAACUGUCAAAUGUAAUUGCAUUAACAGAAAGCGAUACUACUUGCAUUCACUUAAUUGAGUGUUUCAGAAACAGUUAAUUCAAACAGACUCCGCUCAUUACCAAAUUGAGUUUUUAAAGCCAAUGUGUUUUUUCUCCACCCCCCCCCUCUCUCUUAUGCACACAUCCUAAACCAGAGCCCCAUGAACAGCUUAAUUAGGUCUUAUAAGCAUGAGCUAUCCUAUUAAUUUCAACAGAGUGAGCACAUCUGUGCAUGCAAAGGAUAGGUAUACAUGAAUGGGGCUGUGCUUGGAAGCAGCAAACUCCAGUAGCACAUCAGAGAUCCCAAGUACACAAGGAACUACUGUGCUGAAACACCCUCUCAAGGUCAUUAUGGACCACAUGCUUCCCUGGGCAAGGACCAUCUUUGGUGCUCCUUUCCAUUUGUUCAACUUUUGAACGAUAUUUUUUAAUCCCAUUUUGUAAUCUCAUGUCUUUGAUGCACAAUUUUCAAUCCCAUUUACCCUCCUGCUAUUUAAAAUGAUAUACAAUUUCAUGCAUGGAACUGAUCCACAACCAUGCGCAUGCACACUCUUUAUUUUUUUUAUUUAAAAUGUUCAUGUGCCACCCAAUAACUAAGGUUCCCAGACUGAUAGAAUUAUAGAGUUGGAAGGGCUCACAAGAGUGAUCUAGCCCAAUCCAUUGCAAUGCAGAAAUCUUUUGCCUGGCAAUGUGGGUCUUGAACCCACAACCCUGAGAUUAAGAGAAGAAGAAGAGGAGGAGGAGGAAGAGUUUGGAAUUGAUAUCCCACUUUAUCACUACCCGAAGGAGUCUCAAAGCGGCUAACAUUUUCCCUUCCCUUCCUCCCCCACAACAAACACUCUGUGAGGUGAGUGGGGCUGAGAGACUUCAGAGAAGUGUGACUAGCCCAAGGUCACUCAGCAGCUGCAUGUGGAGGAGCGGAAACACGAAGCCGGUUCACCAGAUUACGAGUCUACCGCUCUUAACCACUACACCACACUGGCUCUCACGCUCCAUCAGUCUCACGCUCUAUCAGCUGAGCUAUUCUAAUGGACAAUUACCAGUAGAGACAUGAAGUCUAAACACAACAAAACCAACAAAAGCACAAAUCCAAAACACAAGGAAAUUACGUCAGUGCAAAGCCUUUAAAAAGCACUGGAAUACUCUUAGCUUUGAAAGCUGGGGUGGUGGUCCUAGCAUCCAAAAGAUCGCAAUGGAGGAAUCAGGCAAGCCUCUCUGGGGAGGAAAUUCCACAAAGGUGCACCACCACUGAAAAGGUCCUUUCCACAUUUGGCAGAGGCAGCCGUAGAAGGGCCUCAGAAAAUGAUCCUACAGUGCACCUAAGUAUACAUGAGAAGAAGCUGGCAAGUGGCCACUGGCUAGAGACAUUUAGAACUUUUAAGGUUAAUACCAGCACUUUGAAUUGGACCCAGAAACAAACUGAAAGCCCUCACAGAUGGCAAAACGCUGGUGCAAUAUGGUUUGUGGAAUGGGCAGUGGUGUUGUAAGCUUUCUCCACACAGAAAUCAGUUUAAAUCAGGGUGGGGGAAGUUGUGAUCCUCCACAUGUUACUGGAUUACAAUUUCCUUCCUCUUUGGCCAUUGACCAUGCUAGCUGGGGCUCCAACAACAUAUGCAGAGUUGCAGGUGCCCCAUGCCUGAUUUAAAGCAAACCCCACCCUGCCCAAUAUUUGUGUGCAGUGUUAAAAUUGCAAGAGAAGCCAUCACAUCACCUGUUAUAACUUGGAUAGAGGGAUUCUCUUCACCUCCCUCUCAGUUGUUCAUGGAAAUAGUUGCUAACAUUCACCCUAUUCGUUUUUUUACAGGACAACAUCAUGGUGUCUAUUUAGCGUGUCUGUUAAGAAGACAUGUCAAAAGUAAUGCUUAGUUCUCAUUGAGGUGGCAAACUGCAUCUUAGGUUGGAGAAGAAAUUCAAUACAGCUUGCGAUUAAAGAUCAACCUACCAAAUUAUCACUUUUGAAACAACCCAGCCAUCCUUCAACAGUCACACAUCUACAGAUUUUGCAAUGUAGUUCCCCAACCAAGCAAUGUCUACAAAAUGCAUAUACUUUGGUAAAGUGUACCUUAAAAUGCAGAUAUAAAAAAAAUAAAAUACAGAAAUGUCUUAUUUUAGGGGAAAUUGCUUUGCAAAAAUGGGUAUAUUACAAAGAAUUACAUUCACACACAUGUAUAUGGGG
This 6662-nucleotide long non-coding RNA is filed under the name Podarcis lilfordi (Lilford's wall lizard). The record is from RNAcentral. Lineage: Eukaryota; Metazoa; Chordata; Lepidosauria; Squamata; Lacertidae.